Molecule: ribosomal RNA, 225 nt
Filed under: uncultured bacterium
Lineage: Bacteria
Description: partial 16S ribosomal RNA
Rfam family: Bacterial small subunit ribosomal RNA
Source: RNAcentral
UGGCGGACGGGUGAGUAACGCGUAGGUAUCUAUCCUUGGGUGGGGGACAACAGUGGGAAACUACUGCUAAUACCGCAUGAUGACCGAGGUCCAAAGGUCGCAAGACCGCCUGGGGAGGAGCCUGCGUACGAUUAGCUAGUUGGUGGGGUAAAGGCCUACCAAGGCUACGAUCGUUAGCUGGUUUGAGAGAGCGACCAGCCACACUGGGACUGAGAAACGGCCCAG